Helianthus annuus (common sunflower) is the source of this 608-nucleotide long non-coding RNA. RefSeq lists it as uncharacterized. The record is from RefSeq and is a predicted model, not a curated record. NCBI's taxonomy places the organism in Eukaryota, Viridiplantae, Streptophyta, Magnoliopsida, Asterales, Asteraceae. The transcript is spliced from 2 exons.
GAGGGCUGCUAUGACUUUUCCUUCGCUUAAUGCCCAGCGUCUGAUAUGAGCACCGGGUAAUGAAGCCGAUUCAAAACAAAAACCAUUAUCCAAAACCCUAAUUUCUCCACUUCCACCACCAAUCUUCUAUACCUCCGUAUUCAUUUUCCCCUUUCCAUCUUUUCUUCACAAAACCCUAAUGGCCUAAUCUGACUCACCAAUCGUCAACCUCUUCAAUUUGUGAUGUUUACUCCGGAGUACAAGGGCAGUUUGGCGACACUACGUUGACCAAGGUCUUCAUGAUUUCAUUCGGUUCAGCAUUGAACAGGAUAUCUGGUUUGGAAAACUUACAAGAGGUGAUUUUACCGCUGAUAAACCAAGGACGGGGUUGUCGGGGCUGUUGCGGUCGAAAGGAUAAAGAACAUUAUUCAAGCGGGUUAGAAUUAAUACAAUAUAAUGGAAUUCCACGUGCGUUGUUACGGACAUCGGCCGAAAUCAGUUUGGUUUGUUAGAAUAUCGGUACAAUGUCGGUCAGUAUAGCAACCGAAAGCGAUAUGCCCAAUGGGAUAUCAACACGUGUUUUGCAUUGAAUGAAAAUCAUAAAAACAAAUACUGGUAUCAGUUAUGAA